This 342-nucleotide unclassified non-coding RNA is filed under the name Hevea brasiliensis (rubber tree). The record is from RNAcentral. Lineage: Eukaryota; Viridiplantae; Streptophyta; Magnoliopsida; Malpighiales; Euphorbiaceae.
CACUGGCAUUGCAAACGAAAAAACGAAAAUCGAGUGUGAGAGAGCGCAAGGAAGAGAGCAGCAGGGCAGGGGUAUAAUGGGACACCAGAANNNNNNNNNNNNNGGAGGAGGCGCUGCUAAACGGAGUGGCUAAGCACGGUCCUGGCAAGUGGAAGAACAUUCUCAAAGAUCCCGAUUUUGCUCCUUUCCUCACUCAACGCUCUAACAUCGACCUCAAGGACCCAGAUUACAAAUGGCGGAAUUUGAGUGUUAGUAAUUCUGCACAAGGUUCUAAGGAUAAAGCAAGGGCACAUAAAAUUAAAACUGUAACAGUAACUCCACCCUCCAAUGCGCCAAACUCUG